AAUAUUGGACAAUGGGCGCAAGCCUGAUCCAGCCAUGCCGCGUGAGUGAUGAAGGCCUUAGGGUUGUAAAGCUCUUUCAGUAGGGAAGAUAAUGACGGUACCUACAGAAGAAGCCCCGGCUAACUUCGUGCCAGCAGCCGCGGUAAUACGAAGGGGGCUAGCGUUGUACGGAUUUACUGGGCGUAAAGCGCACGUAGGCGGAUUGGUCAGUUAGGGGUGAAAUCCUGGAGCUCAACUCCAGAACUGCCCUUAAUACUGCCAGUCUAGAGUCCGGAAGAGGUAAGUGGAACUCCUAGUGUAGAGGUGGAAUUCGUAGAUAUUAGGAAGAACACCAGUGGCGAAGGCGGCUUACUGGACCGGCACUGACGCUGAGGUGCGAAAGCGUGGGGAGCAAACAGG
Molecule: ribosomal RNA, 399 nt
Filed under: uncultured bacterium
Lineage: Bacteria
Description: partial 16S ribosomal RNA
Rfam family: Bacterial small subunit ribosomal RNA
Source: RNAcentral